This 732-nucleotide ribosomal RNA is filed under the name Haustorioides koreanus. RNAcentral describes it as "12S ribosomal RNA". Lineage: Eukaryota; Metazoa; Arthropoda; Malacostraca; Amphipoda; Dogielinotidae. The record is from RNAcentral.
UUUGCUGUUUUUGUAAUUUUACCUAGAUAGAUAGGGGCGCCGUAUAUAACGUUGAAGGGGCUCUCCGGGGGAGGGAGCCUAAUUAUAAUUUCGCGGUUGCCCUCCCCUGCUCCUCUUUUGGUUGAUUAAAUUAAUUUAUAUAUAACGUUAGGGCCUUAUUGGGUUUACUGUAGUCUAUAAAAUUAUAAAAUUAUUUGAGUAGGAGUCUGGAGGUUAAACUGGUGCCAGCAUCUGCGGUUAGACUAGGUCCUUUUGGCCAUUAAGGGGUUGCCCUCAACCUCACCGGGUAGUUUGUAUGGUAAAAAAGAAAACAACUUGUUCUAAGUGUAGAAAAGGCUGCAAAGUUUCGACAAAAUAGGAUUAGAUACCCUAGUAUUAUAUCUACCUCUCCUCAGGAAUAGAUAGAGAAAUGAAACAAUUUGGCGGCCCCAGGGUAUUAGAGGGGCUUGCUAAUAAUCGAUAAACCGCGCUUGCUCCCACUUUUUUUAUUUUUGUAUACCGUCAUGUAAGGGUUCUUAAAGGGUUAAUCACUUAAUUAGGCUAGAUCAAGGUGCAAAAAUAUAGAAGUAUAGUUAGCCACAAUACCUAGCCGUACACGAAUAUUUAACUUAUCAGGUGGAUUUAUCUUUAAUAGAAUAAAAUUAUGAACUUUGAACCUGGGGUGUUCAGAUCGCCCGUCACUCUCUUUGAGAUAAGUCGAAACAAAGUAAGAUUACUGGAAAGUGAGCUUAA